ACAGUCAUUGUUUCCAGACCAGCCGAGCCAACUGGGGAGGAGAGGCCAAGCCCAGGGAGAGCAGUAAGAGGCCCAGCUUGCAACACAGGCCCCCGGCGGCUGGAGUCGGCUCAUGGGUUGCUGGGGGGCAGCUGGUGCCAGCCCUGCUAGACAUGUCCAGGGUCGGGGCAGAGGCCAGGGUGGCUCUCAUCCACAACGAGGCUCCAGGAAGAGGCUCCAGAGGGCCCAGGUCCCUGGAGGAAGACAGAGGGUGGAUUAUCCAGUGAGUCCUCAGAUUGCUCCAGGGAGACUCUACCCCUAGGCCCUCAUCCUACCUAGGACUGAGGCAGCCAUCUGGGUCUCUGCUUCCCUAACCACUUCCUCCUCCACCCGACCAUCACCUAGUCUCAAGGACUUGGGCAGCUUCUGGAAGUGGCUGAGACUGGAAGAAUGUUGUCACACCUACCAGAUAUCCCUACGUGUAUCUCUACCACCCCCACUACAUAUUCUGAAGAACCAAGGUGCAACAGGAACCUGGAGCCUCAAGAGCCGAGGUGCUCAGGAGGGGCAGCAUGACUCCAGGGCUCGGAAGGAGCCCCUCAGGGGAACCUCAAGAGUGCUGCCUGAGUAACUCUCAUUACACAAAGACACAACUGCAAGAGGAUCCCCAGGCAUUCCCAUGAGAACACAGAUUCUGACAACCCCUCCAUCCCCCACCUUGGUCUCCACCCCAGGACUCACAGCAUGGCAAAAAUCCAAGGGAAGAUUCUUGGAAUUGCAUUAUGGUUACAUGAUGGCUGCUGGAGACCCAGCUCUCAUGUCUGUGUUCCAGGCAGCAGAAAGGAAGAAGAGCCUUUCAGCUGACUCAGUCCCAUGUAAAGAGUUUCUUUGGUCCUGAACUCCUGGCCUCAAGUGAUCCUCCCACUUCGACCUCCCAAAGUGCUGGGAUUACAGGCAUAAGCCACCAUGCCUAAGAGCUUCUUUGGAAGCCCAAACCAAAAACUUCAGCUUAUACUUCUGCAAGAGAGGCUGGGAAAUAUGUUUAUCAAAGCCCACUACCACCCUCGAUAACAUGGGAUUCCACUGGCAAGAAAGGAGAGAACUAUUGGGUACUCAACCAACUCUCUCGACCUUACCCUCCAUGUUCUCUCCUGGCUGGGCCACAACUCUCAUCCACUGGAAGACAGACCAAGGGGAAAUCUCUGGCAGCUGUGAACUGGCAGGCUGUGUGUGUGUGCAUGUGUGUGUGUGCAUGUGUGCAUGCAUGUGUAUGUGUGUAUGUGUGUGUGCAUGUGUGUGUGGCUUCACUGGGGCCUGACCCACAAAUACCAUGAUGUCUCUUUGCUUUUAUGUAAUGAGUUCUCCGUUGGCUUCUGCCUGGUCCAAGACUGAUUUGCCUCAGCCUAACAUUGUGUAGUGAAGGCCUUUCCCAGGGCCAGAAAGGACUGGCAGGGCUGGAGAGAAAGCAGCUGGUGGAGCUGUGUGGUGGGCUGGCAGCUCCUUUCUCUUCACCUUGUUUGGGUGUUAUCAGCUCCUCUUUCUCCAACCUGGGGUGCUCCUGCCUCGAUAUCAUCAAUCACUGAUGGAAACUCGCAGGGAAAAGAUUUGUUUGUGUGUUCCUUGAGGACAGAACAAUGUUGUAGUAUUUGAUGGGUCUUAAUAUACGGUGAGCUUCAAAGGUAAGUAGUUGCCUAUUCUAGUCAGGUUGAGGCGAUACCGAAUGACUCACAUGAAACAUGGAAUUGACUUCAUUGAUACCAGCAAGGAGGUGCUCACAGUGAAGUCAGCCCUCCCUCACCACAGGGGCACAUGCCACCCCCAUUUUGUAGCCAAAAAACCUGAAGUUAGGUCGCCUCCCUGAGUCACCCAAGCACUGGCCUGAGUGCUGCACAGUGGGGUGACCGGGCUUCCCUACAUCAAAGAACUACCCUCAGCCCAGGGGCCUGGCUGUCUAGGAAGGGUUCAGAAGGCACACCCAAGACUCAGGCCCCUGCCUCAACUCCACAACACUGAGGGAGGUGAGUAGACUGGGUGGGAGGGGCAGCUCUGCAGCUGGCCAGAGGCUGCGGGGACACAAGGGGUACUCAGCAGACCUGGGCGUCUCUCCACAAGGCUCAGGUACCAGAUCUGAAAUAACAUGAAACACAGUAGGGGGUUCAUCAACGUCAUCAUCAUUAUUCACUACGUUUGCUUCAGACCUCAACAUCACCCACAGAUGAUUAUGGGUUUAGAAAUGGAAUGAGGUUGAACUUAGGGGGUGACCACCUGACUUCUGUUUUAUCUUUGUCUUUUAUUCAUGCUUCUUUUUACUGAGUGGUCAUCCGCAAACAAGCCUGCAACAUGACAUGUCUUGGACUCAGCUCAUUUGAUGCACCAACAAGACAAACAGCAGACAACGGCAGCACCACAGAGCUGGAAACAAAAUGAAUAAAUACUUUUUCACAAUGAAA
RNAcentral lists this long non-coding RNA (2429 nucleotides) under Homo sapiens (human). Its description in RNAcentral is "gastric cancer associated WDR5 and KAT2A binding lncRNA, transcript variant 8 (GCAWKR)". Lineage: Eukaryota; Metazoa; Chordata; Mammalia; Primates; Hominidae. The record is from RNAcentral.